GACUGAUCUAUUAAUAGGGAAAAUUUAAAAAAAUACAAAUUCUUAAAAAAAACAUUGUGCCUCCUAAUCCUACCAAUUGUCACUAAGCCAGUGCUUCCUGUGGGCGGUGCCUCCAUGCUGCAAUUUCCUAAAGCUUGAAAACAAGCGCCUAAGCUCUGUAGAAGAAACAAACAGUCAUUUUCUUAAGGGAACUAAAAAAAUGAAACCCUAAAUUCUUAAGUUUCCCUUACCCUUCUUCUUUGCUAUUCCUCAGACAGUGUGCGUGAGUCAUUUUCUUCCCCCAGUUCCUCGGAGAUCCUGUAACAAAUCCUUUUUCUUCUCCGAACUCAACCUAUCAAAACAUCAUCUCCGCCUCCUCUAACUUCUUCCCAUUUGGUCCUUUAGAACAAUGGGUUCAACCUCCGGCGAAGUUUCUUCCAUCCAAAAGGUCGGGGAGUCACAUCCUCUCCCCCAUGCAGCCACCGAAAAAUUUAUGUUUUUCUAUAGCCAACUACAUGUAUGAAAUUGAAUAAGACUACAAGAAAUUUUUUUAAAAAUCACCUCUUCAAGUGAAAUUGGAAUAGGAAAUUUGUGUUAUUCAAAGUUUCUUUUAAAAUUUAUUAAAAUUUUUAUAUUGAGCAUUUACUUGAUUGGUAUGAGAAUUGUUGCCAUACUUGAUUGGUAUGAGAAUUGUUGCCAACGUAGGAGAACAUGGGUUCAAGUGUGUUAAAGCAUAUUAUCCUCCUAUUUAUGAAAAUUCUAAAAUCUAAACAAAUAUAAUAAUGGUAAGGCACACUGUACUCACAAGGGGAGAACUCAAGUUCAAACAUUGGAGGCGAUACCCUGAACAUGAACGGUAAAACAGACAUGAAAAAUUUACAAUUUUAUAAAAAAUAAUUCUUAAAUUAAAAGAAUGCAAAGUUUCAUAAAAUUCUAAAAAAAGAAAAUUCCAAAAAGAAAUUGAAAAUCUAGAAUUAUAACAAUUAAAAAUUCCAUAAACUUCUUAAAUAUUUUUUUAAAACUUAAUUUUUAAAAAAAUUAUGAACUUUAAUGAAAAAGCUUCUGAUUUGCACUUGAAAAAUAGUUUCAUUCUAACUAUUGUACAUUAUAUUUGCUAACGCAUUCAGAUUCCCUAAUCUUACAUGUGUGAAGUCUUGUUGAGUAGAUAAUUUUAUUCAACAAUCAUUUGAAUCACCUAUUGGCUUAAGUUCAAUCUAUUAUUACAUAAAGAAGUAAUUGUAGCCUAUCACUCAGUGAAUUAUUUUUUUUUAAUGAAUAAGGAGUUGGAUGGUACGUCAAACUCACCAAAAACUUCUUUAGAUGUCAAAUUGAUAAAUUUAUUGUCGUACAAGGCCCAUAUACAUAUUAAACCCUCUCAAUGUACCAGCUUUGAGCAAAAAUUCUAGUUUUAAUUGUAUCCCCACUCUCUGUACUCCUUAGACUUUAGUCCCUCUAUUUUUAAUGUCAAGAAUUUGUUCUAUUUACUUCUCUUAUCUAAAAAUGAAAAUCAAAUGGAUGACUUUAUUAAUAUUUAAAAAGUACAAUUUAUUUGAUAGCAGACUUAACAUAUAAUUGGUAUUCCUAAGUUUGAUACUUUUUUUAAUGUGGUACCUGUGUUAUUUUUUGGUUCAAUCUGGUACUUGUAUAUAAAAAAAUUAUAUAUUUUGGUGCCCAAAAAUAACUGUGUUAACUUUUUAGUAUUUAAUUCCAGAUUUAAGGUUAAUUUGAUGUAAGUUAAUUGCUAAUAUUAUUAUGUUUGAAUUUUUCAUGAUUUUGUUAAUAGAAUACAUUUUUGUGUUAAUUGUGAAUUUGUUUAAUUUGUAAAAUACAAUCAGAUGGAUGUGAAUUAAUUCAAGCUAUAGGGUUAAUUUAAUGAAAGUUAAUUGUUAAUAUUAUUAGCUGAUUAUGUAUUUUCAUUAAAUCAACUCUAAAAUCGAAUUAAACAUUAAAAAGUUAAUAUUGUUACCUUUGGGUACCAAAAUAUAUAACAUUUGUCAAAUACAGGUAUCAAAUUGGACCAACAAAUAACACAAAUAUCACAUUAGGAAAAAAACGUAUACCAAAUUAUGUAUUAAGCCUUGCUAAUAGAUUUGAAAGACGGUAAGAAAUUUUGAUAUUUAAAAAAUAUUGAGAAAAAAGAGAGAAUAAUUUUACCUUUAAAUGGGUUUGAAUCAAUGCCAAUUUAUUAAUUAAAUAUAAACCAUUUUACAAAAUAUUUUUAGAGAAAACAAUGAAAUAAGUUUUCUAAUUUUGCAUAUAAUUUUAUUUUUAACCAAAUAUAUAUUUUUAAUGUUUCCAUUUUUCAAAAAUUUGGUGAAAUAAAAGGAAGGUCUUAACUUUUUUUAUUUUGUUUUUAGUAAUAAGUUUGGAUUAAAAAUGGUUUGGUUGUAGGGGGAUGGGAUAAGGUUUUGAAAAGUCUAUUUUUUGUGUGCAAAGUGAUAGAUGAGGACCAAAAAGAAAUCCUAUUCCAUCUUUAACACCACAAUCGACCUUACCAAAUUAUUGCUACAAAUUACUAUCUUAUUGGUUGCAGAAAAGCACAUACAACUCCACUUCAUCAAAGUUUGAAUCUGGAUGAUAAAAAGAUGGUAAAAGGGCAACAUAAAAGCCCCAAGGGAUUUAGCCCAUUGAACCCAUUUAGCUCAAUGGAUAACUUAAAAACGGACCACCUUUACACUUGUCUUGAGUGGAAACGUGACUGAUUUGAUUGAACAUAAAAAGAAAAGAGGUUGUGGCCGCCAUUAACAAGUAUUCAACAGUUAUCUUACAAAUGAAUAUGAUAGAGGAUGUCAAACCAAGAAUACGAUGUACCUAAAGUUUGGCAUUCCGCAAAAGGAUGCUAGCAUAUGAUGUGCCAAAUUGGGUAGCUCUUUCUCUUCUUUUUCACUGCAGGGUUACGUACUCGGUAAUUUUGAGUAGGUUUGAUAAAUGCAAUGAUAUCAAUUUUUACACAGAUAUGAAUAUAUAUGUAUUAUGAAAUGUAUAAAAGAAAAACACAAUGAAAUCAAUAAUUGAAGAAUUUGUCAUUUGAUGAAUGUCUCCCAUCUGCUUUUAUAUUUCAAGUACAAAAUGGUCACAUACACA
RNAcentral lists this long non-coding RNA (3063 nucleotides) under Gossypium barbadense (sea-island cotton). Its description in RNAcentral is "long non-coding RNA (GBAR_LNC019451)". The record is from RNAcentral. Lineage: Eukaryota; Viridiplantae; Streptophyta; Magnoliopsida; Malvales; Malvaceae.